GCGGGUGUGGCGAAAUGGUAGACGCGCAAGACUUAGAAUCUUGUAACGUGAGUUGUGGGGGUUCAAGUCCCUUCACCCGCA
RNAcentral lists this transfer RNA (81 nucleotides) under Rickettsiales bacterium Ac37b. It matches the Rfam family "tRNA". From Rfam's summary of the family: Transfer RNA (tRNA) molecules are approximately 80 nucleotides in length. Their secondary structure includes four short double-helical elements and three loops (D, anti-codon, and T loops). Lineage: Bacteria; Pseudomonadati; Pseudomonadota; Alphaproteobacteria; Rickettsiales. The record is from Rfam by way of RNAcentral.